CGCCGACGGCCGUCGUAUUCUGCGCAUCUGCUCUCACGUCCGUCUCGUUGAAGGUGAGUCGUUGGGACUUGGCUCGAUUUCAUCGACAAUUUCAUCUGUCGAUGGUAAUAGUUGCUGCCGUGGUAGUAAUGAUGGCUAGUAGAUCAGUAGCAAUGAUAGGCAGUAAUGAUGAUGAAGUAGCCCCUGCUGCCGUAGACGUUGAUGGCUAGUAG
This 212-nucleotide long non-coding RNA is filed under the name Setaria italica (foxtail millet). RNAcentral describes it as "long non-coding RNA (SITA_LNC002958)". The record is from RNAcentral. Lineage: Eukaryota; Viridiplantae; Streptophyta; Magnoliopsida; Poales; Poaceae.